This is a long non-coding RNA of Ruditapes philippinarum (Manila clam), 801 nucleotides long. RefSeq lists it as uncharacterized. The record is from RefSeq and is a predicted model, not a curated record. The transcript has 4 exons. Lineage: Eukaryota; Metazoa; Mollusca; Bivalvia; Venerida; Veneridae.
UUUUGUGCUAAAUUUACUUGGACUGCAUUGGUGUUUAAAGAAAUGGUCAUGAAGUUUCGGUACCGGAUUUGUUUUGUCCAGAAUUUAGCCUUAAAUGUGAUGGAUUUACUAUAGGAUAUAUGGGUCGAAAAUUCAGUAGGCCGUGUCCUAAAUGUAACAGGUUAAAAUGGGAUUUUCUAAGGAACUACUUGGAUUAAAGUGAUGAAACUUCACCUACUGGUAAUGCUUGUGGAUAGCAAUCUGAAUUUUAAAGGAUAACAGUCAGGUGAUGAAUACCAUGUGUGGGUAGAUAGGAAGAGUUAUACCACCAAUCACCAACAUUUCCUACACCGGAACAAACUAAGGAUUCCUCUGGACAGAACUUACAGCUACCAGCAUAACACUCUAAUGUAGCUAUAUGGAUUGUUGGUAAGACUUUUCUGUGAGCGAAGCACUGGUUUUGACGAAUUUUGUGCCUGAUUUUGGCUGAGAUGUGAGCAAGAACUACUGUUGGUUUGUUCCGCAGCGUUCAAGUGAGGAGGAUUUCAUUUCUGGGUGGAAGGUUUCAUGAGGCACUAUGCACAAGAAUACACACCAGUUACUAUUUGGAAUAUUCUAUAGUGAUUACAGAAAUUAAAAGCUGCAGAAAAACUCCAAGGGCUAAUGUAUUAUUUUUUUGUGCUAAAUUUACUUGGACUGCAUUGGUGUUUAAAGAAAUGGUCAUGAAGUUUCGGUACCGGAUUUGUUUUGUCCAGAAUUUAGCCUUAAAUGUGAUGGAUUUACUAUAGGAUAUAUGGGUCGAAAAUUCAGUAGGCCGUGUCC